Molecule: long non-coding RNA, 347 nt
Organism: Neopelma chrysocephalum (saffron-crested tyrant-manakin)
Lineage: Eukaryota; Metazoa; Chordata; Aves; Passeriformes; Pipridae
Exons: 4
Source: RefSeq, a predicted model, not a curated record
AGACAAGGACGAGGCCUGGUGGCAGGAGCCAAUCGCGGCCCGGGAGCUGUUUUGUCCCGAGGUGGGCGUGGCCGACCCCCAGGUGCUGCGGGAACAGGUGGAGACCUGCUGGGAACUGCUGGAAUUGGAGCCGUGGAGCCGAGGCUGCCUCCUCACCCUAUCGCUGCUGCUCUCGGCGCUGGACCCCAUUGGCCACGCCCACGAGGCCCGGAGGCACCUGGAGAGCCUGAAGGAGGCCGACCCGCUGCGAUUGGGCUUCGCGGCCGACGCGGCCUCGCGAUUGGAGGCGGCGCUGGGGGUGCUGGGAUUGGGGGCGGGGCCGGGGCCGGUGUGGCUCCGCCUCCCCG